AAUAUUGGACAAAUGGGCGAAAGCCCUGAUCCAGCAAUGCCGCGUGUGUGAAGAAGGCCCUGCGGGUUGUAAAGCACUUUCAUCCGGGGAGGAAAAGCGUCGGGUGAAUAGCCCGGCGUCUUGACGUUACCCGAAGAAGAAGCGCCGGCAAACUUCGUGCCAGCAGCCGCGGUAAUACGAAGGGCGCAAGCGUUAAUCGGAAUCACUGGGCGUAAAGGGCACGCAGGCGGCCAGGUAAGUCGGGUGUGAAAGCCCUGGGCUCAACCCAGGAAUGGCAUCCGAUACUGCUUGGCUAGAGUCCGGUAGAGGGCAGUGGAAUUCCCGGUGUAGCGGUGAAAUGCGUAGAUAUCGGGAAGAACACCAGUGGCGAAGGCGACUGCCUGGACCGAGACUGACGCUCAGGUGCGAAAGCGUGGGGAGCAAAGAGGAUUAGAUACCCUCGUAGUCCACGCCGUAAACGUUGAGGACUAGCCGUUGGCCCCUAUUGAAUGGGGUUAGUGGCGCAGCUAACGCGUUAAGUCCUCCGC
RNAcentral lists this ribosomal RNA (527 nucleotides) under uncultured bacterium. RNAcentral's name for it is "bacterial SSU rRNA". It matches the Rfam family "Bacterial small subunit ribosomal RNA", at positions 359 to 872 of the family's 1533-position model. The record is from RNAcentral.